ACCGGGGCUUUGUGGUGCGCUCUCGACGAGUCGAGUUGUUUGGGAAUGCAGCUCAAAAUGGGUGGUAAAUUCCAUCUAAAGCUAAAUAUUGGCGAGAGACCGAUAGCGAACAAGUACCGUGAGGGAAAGAUGAAAAGAACUUUGGAAAGAGAGUUAAACAGUACGUGAAAUUGUCAAAAGGGAAACGAUUGAUGUCAGUCGCGUCCUUCAGGGAUCAACCUGGCCUUCACGGGCCCGGUGUACUUCCUGUCGGAUGGGUCAGCAUCAGUUUUGACCGGUGUUGAAAGGCUUAGGGAAUGUGGCACCUUCGGGUGUGUUAUAGCCCUUGGUCGCAUGCAUCGGUUGGGACUGAGGAACUCAGCGCGCCCGCAAGGGCCGGGUCUUCGGACCAC
This 392-nucleotide ribosomal RNA is filed under the name Fistulina orientalis. RNAcentral describes it as "partial large subunit ribosomal RNA". It matches the Rfam family "Eukaryotic large subunit ribosomal RNA", at positions 235 to 610 of the family's 3401-position model. The record is from RNAcentral. Lineage: Eukaryota; Fungi; Basidiomycota; Agaricomycetes; Agaricales; Fistulinaceae.